Molecule: unclassified non-coding RNA, 390 nt
Filed under: soil metagenome
Description: partial contains 5.8S ribosomal RNA, internal transcribed spacer 2, and large subunit ribosomal RNA
Rfam family: 5.8S ribosomal RNA (bases 1-122)
Source: RNAcentral
GAUGAAGAACGCAGCGAAAUGCGAUACUUGGUGUGAAUUGCAGAAUCCCGUGAACCAUCGAGUCUUUGAACGCAAGUUGCGCCCGAAGCCAUUAGGCCGAGGGCACGCCUGCCUGGGCGUCACACGUCGUUGCCCCCCCAUCUACUCCUUCGGGAUUGCGGGGGGCGGAUGAUGGCCUCCCGUGCGCCUCGUCGCGCGGUUGGCAUAAAUGCCAAGUCCUCGGCGACGCACGCCACGACAAUCGGUGGUUGCGAAACCUCGGUUGCCCGUCGUGUGCGGUCGUCGCGCAUCGAGGGCUCGAAAAAAUUGCCGGGCUCCGGCUCGGCUUUCAACGCGACCCCAGGUCAGGCGGGGUUACCCGCUGAAUUUAAGCAUACAAUAAGCGGAGGA